This 507-nucleotide ribosomal RNA is filed under the name uncultured bacterium. Its description in RNAcentral is "partial 16S ribosomal RNA". It matches the Rfam family "Bacterial small subunit ribosomal RNA", at positions 29 to 507 of the family's 1533-position model. The record is from RNAcentral.
ACGAACGCUGGCGGCGUGCCUCAUACAUGCAAGUCGAACGCUUCUUUCCUCCCGAGUGCUUGCACUCAAUUGGAAAGAGGAGUGGCGGACGGGUGAGUAACACGUGGGUAACCUACCCAUCAGAGGGGGAUAACACUUGGAAACAGGUGCUAAUACCGCAUAACAGUUUAUGCCGCAUGGCAUAAGAGUGAAAGGCGCUUUCGGGUGUCGUUGAUGGAUGGACCCGCGGUGCAUUAGCUAGUUGGUGAGGUAACGGCUCACCAAGGCCACGAUGCAUAGCCGACCUGAGAGGGUGAUCGGCCACACUGGGACUGAGACACGGCCCAGACUCCUACGGGAGGCAGCAGUAGGGAAUCUUCGGCAAUGGACGAAAGUCUGACCGAGCAACGCCGCGUGAGUGAAGAAGGUUUUCGGAUUGUAAAACUCUGUUGUUAGAGAAGAACAAGGACGUUAGUAACUGAACGUCCCCUGACGGUAUCUAACCAGAAAGCCACGGCUAACUACGUG